GACGAACGCUGGCGGCGUGCCUAAUACAUGCAAGUAGAACGCUGAAGAGAGGAGCUUACUCUUCUUGGAUGAGUUGCGAACGGGUGAGUAACGCGUAGGUAACCUGCCUUGUAGCGGGGGAUAACUAUUGGAAACGAUAGCUAAUACCGCAUAACAAUGGAUGACACAUGUCAUUUAUUUGAAAGGGGCAAUUGCUCCACUACAAGAUGGACCUGCGUUGUAUUAGCUAGUAGGUGAGGUAAUGGCUCACCUAGGCGACGAUACAUAGCCGACCUGAGAGGGUGAUCGGCCACACUGGGACUGAGACACGGCCCAGACUCCUACGGGAGGCAGCAGUAGGGAAUCUUCGGCAAUGGGGGCAACCCUGACCGGGCAACGCCGCGUGAGUGAAGAAGGUUUUCGGAUCGUAAAGCUCUGUUGUAAGUCAAGAACGGGUGUGAGAGUGGAAAGUUCACACUGUGACGGUAGCUUACCAGAAAGGGACGGCUAACUACGUG
RNAcentral lists this ribosomal RNA (497 nucleotides) under uncultured bacterium. RNAcentral describes it as "partial 16S ribosomal RNA". It matches the Rfam family "Bacterial small subunit ribosomal RNA", at positions 28 to 507 of the family's 1533-position model. The record is from RNAcentral.